UGCGCAGGCGGCUUGUCAAGUCAUGUGUGAAAUACCCAGGCUUAACUUGGGGGGUGCAUAUGAAACUGGCGAGCUUGAGUGCAGGAGAGGGGAGCGGAAUUCCUAGUGUAGCGGUGAAAUGCGUAGAUAUUAGGAGGAACACCAGUGGCGAAGGCGGCUCUCUGGACUGCAACUGACGCUGAGGCACGAAAGCGUGGGGAGCAAACAGGAUUAGAUACCCUGGUAGUCCACGCGGUAAACGAUGGAUACUAGGUGUAGGGGGUGUAUGCCCUCUGUGCCGGAGCAAACGCAAUAAGUAUCCCGCCUGGGGAGUACGGCCGCAAGGUUGAA
This 330-nucleotide ribosomal RNA is filed under the name uncultured bacterium. RNAcentral's name for it is "bacterial SSU rRNA". It matches the Rfam family "Bacterial small subunit ribosomal RNA", at positions 568 to 898 of the family's 1533-position model. The record is from RNAcentral.